This is a long non-coding RNA of Zea mays, 423 nucleotides long. RefSeq lists it as uncharacterized. The record is from RefSeq and is a predicted model, not a curated record. NCBI's taxonomy places the organism in Eukaryota, Viridiplantae, Streptophyta, Magnoliopsida, Poales, Poaceae. The transcript has 3 exons.
UAUGAUCACUAUUCUUGAGACCAUGUUCUUGUUUCAAGAUAAUAGCUCGUUACUGUUUGCAAUUAUUUUAGAAGAAAGAUAUAUUCAAAGAUGUAGAGCCCACCUCAAUUGAUCUAUUCAAGAACUUCCAUUGUGGCAAAAAAAAUGGAUUUACCGAGUCUGUACAGAAAGCAAUUGAUGAUAUGGAAGGCAUUAUGAGUGAACCAGUACAAGAUGGAGAGGAACCAAAGUCAGCAAAAGAAGUUGUUUCUCAGGUUGUCAAAUCAACUACUUUUCUUCGUGUUGCAGGUGUUUGUUCAGCCUCCAAGAGUACCUCUAGAGGUGCAAUAUCAUCACAGGUCCACGAUCUUCAGGUUGAGCUUGAGAAUGAGAAGCAAGAAAAAGGAGAACUUCGACAAGAGUUGGAUAAUUUGAAGAUGGAAU